This 30-nucleotide non-coding RNA is filed under the name Homo sapiens (human). Lineage: Eukaryota; Metazoa; Chordata; Mammalia; Primates; Hominidae. The record is from RNAcentral.
UGCACACGUGCCCGUGUCCACAAAGAGCAU